Molecule: ribosomal RNA, 497 nt
Filed under: uncultured bacterium
Lineage: Bacteria
Description: partial 16S ribosomal RNA
Rfam family: Bacterial small subunit ribosomal RNA
Source: RNAcentral
GAUGAACGCUGGCGGCGUGCCUAAUACAUGCAAGUCGAGCGAACGGACGAGAAGCUUGCUUCUCUGAUGUUAGCGGCGGACGGGUGAGUAACACGUGGAUAACCUACCUAUAAGACUGGGAUAACUUCGGGAAACCGGAUCUAAUACCGGAUGAUAUUUUGAACCGCAUGGUUCAAAAGUGAAAGACGGUCUUGCUGUCACUUAUAGAUGGAUUCGCGCUGCAUUAGCUAGUUGGCAAGGUAACGGCUUACCAAGGCAACGAUGCAUAGCCGACCUGAGAGGGUGAUCGGCCACACUGGAACUGAGACACGGUCCAGACUCCUACGGGAGGCAGCAGUAGGGAAUCUUCCGCAAUGGGCGAAAGCCUGACGGAGCAACGCCGCGUGAGUGAUGAAGGUCUUCGGAUCGUAAAACUCUGUUAUUAGGGAAGAACAUAUGUGUAAGUAACUGUGCACAUCUUGACGGUACCUAAUCAGAAAGCCACGGCUAACUACGUG